Molecule: ribosomal RNA, 319 nt
Filed under: Escherichia coli
Lineage: Bacteria; Pseudomonadati; Pseudomonadota; Gammaproteobacteria; Enterobacterales; Enterobacteriaceae
Description: partial 23S ribosomal RNA
Rfam family: Bacterial large subunit ribosomal RNA
Source: RNAcentral
UUCCUGUACUUGGUGUUACUGCGAAGGGGGGACGGAGAAGGCUAUGUUGGCCGGGCGACGGUUGUCCCGGUUUAAGCGUGUAGGCUGGUUUUCCAGGCAAAUCCGGAAAAUCAAGGCUGAGGCGUGAUGACGAGGCACUACGGUGCUGAAGCAACAAAUGCCCUGCUUCCAGGAAAAGCCUCUAAGCAUCAGGUAACAUCAAAUCGUACCCCAAACCGACACAGGUGGUCAGGUAGAGAAUACCAAGGCGCUUGAGAGAACUCGGGUGAAGGAACUAGGCAAAAUGGUGCCGUAACUUCGGGAGAAGGCACGCUGAUAU